RNAcentral lists this ribosomal RNA (641 nucleotides) under Pythium dissotocum. Its description in RNAcentral is "eukaryotic LSU rRNA". The stretch from base 47 to 201 matches the Rfam family "5.8S ribosomal RNA". Lineage: Eukaryota; Oomycota; Peronosporomycetes; Pythiales; Pythiaceae. The record is from RNAcentral.
CUGAACUAUACUCCGAAAACGAAAGUCUUUGGUUUUAAUCAAUAACAACUUUCAGCAGUGGAUGUCUAGGCUCGCACAUCGAUGAAGAACGCUGCGAACUGCGAUACGUAAUGCGAAUUGCAGAAUUCAGUGAGUCAUCGAAAUUUUGAACGCACAUUGCACUUUCGGGUUAUGCCUGGAAGUAUGCCUGUAUCAGUGUCCGUACAUCAAACUUGCCUUUCUUUUUUUGUGUAGUCAAGAAGAGAGAUGGCAGACUGUGAGGUGUCUCGCUGACUCCCUCUUCGGAGGAGAAGACGCGAGUCCCUUUAAAUGUACGUUCGCUCUUUCUUGUGUUUAAGAUGAAGUGUGACUUUCGAACGCAGUGAUCUGUUUGGAUCGCUUUGCUCGAGUGGGCGACUUCGGUUAGGACAUUAAAGGAAGCAACCUCUAUUGGCGGUAUGUUAGGCUUCGGCCCGACUUUGCAGCUGACUGGAGUUGUUUUCUGUUCUUUCCUUGAGGUGUACCUGUCUUGUGUGAGGCAAUGGUCUGGGCAAAUGGUUAUUGUGUAGUAGGAAGUUGCUGCUCUUAAGCGCUCUAGCUUCGGUUAGAGUAAAGGAGGCAACACCAAUUUGGGAUAGUCGUUGAUUUAUCAAUGGCGCUCU